This 1016-nucleotide ribosomal RNA is filed under the name Plasmodium cynomolgi. Its description in RNAcentral is "SSU rRNA". It matches the Rfam family "Eukaryotic small subunit ribosomal RNA", at positions 141 to 1092 of the family's 1831-position model. Lineage: Eukaryota; Apicomplexa; Aconoidasida; Haemosporida; Plasmodiidae. The record is from RNAcentral.
GGAUAACUACGGAAAAGCUGUAGCUAAUACUUGCUUUAGCACUCUUGAUUAAGUUCUUGAGUGUGUACUUGUUAAGCCUUUUAAGAAAAAAGUUAUUAACUUAAGGAAUUAUAACAAAGAAGUAACACGUAAUGGAUCCGUCCAUUUUUAGUGUGUAUCAAUCGAGUUUCUGACCUAUCAGCUUUUGAUGUUAGGGUAUUGACCUAACAUGGCUAUGACGGGUAACGGGGAAUUAGAGUUCGAUUCCGGAGAGGGAGCCUGAGAAAUAGCUACCACAUCUAAGGAAGGCAGCAGGCGCGUAAAUUACCCAAUUCUAAAGAAGAGAGGUAGUGACAAGAAAUAACAAUACAAGGCCAAUCUGGCUUUGUAAUUGGAAUGAUGGGAAUUUAAAACCUUCCCAAAACUCAAUUGGAGGGCAAGUCUGGUGCCAGCAGCCGCGGUAAUUCCAGCUCCAAUAGCGUAUAUUAAAAUUGUUGCAGUUAAAACGCUCGUAGUUGAAUUUCAAAGAAUCGAUAUUUUAAGUAACGCUUUUAGCUUAAUCCACAUAACUGAUACUACGUAUCGACUUUGUGCGCAUUUUGCUAUUAUGUGUUCUUUUAAUUAAAAUGAUUCUUUUUAAGGUCUUUCUUUUGCUUCGGCAUUUGAAGAUCUUGUUACUUUGAGUAAAUUAGAGUGUUCAAAGCAAACAGAUAUAGCAUUGCGCGUUUGAAUACUACAGCAUGGAAUAACAAAAUUGAACAAGUCAGAAUUUUGUUCUUUUUUCUUAUUUUGGCUUAGUUACGAUUAAUAGGAGUAGCUUGGGGGCAUUUGUAUUCAGAUGUCAGAGGUGAAAUUCUUAGAUUUUCUGGAGACAAACAACUGCGAAAGCAUUUGCCUAAAAUACUUCCAUUAAUCAAGAACGAAAGUUAAGGGAGUGAAGACGAUCAGAUACCGUCGUAAUCUUAACCAUAAACUAUGCCGACUAGGCUUUGGAUGGAAGAUUUUAAAAUAAGAGAUUUUCUCUUCGGAGUUAAUCA